Molecule: transfer RNA, 62 nt
Filed under: Trioza remota
Lineage: Eukaryota; Metazoa; Arthropoda; Insecta; Hemiptera; Triozidae
Description: tRNA-Gly
Source: RNAcentral
UCUUACUAGUAUAUAUUUUAAUUACAUUUAGCUUCCAACUAAAAAAUCUAAGGGUAAGAUAA